Molecule: ribosomal RNA, 492 nt
Filed under: uncultured bacterium
Lineage: Bacteria
Description: partial 16S ribosomal RNA
Rfam family: Bacterial small subunit ribosomal RNA
Source: RNAcentral
AGUGAACGCUGGCGGUAGGCCUAACACAUGCAAGUCGAACGGCAGCACAGUAAGAGCUUGCUCUUACGGGUGGCGAGUGGCGGACGGGUGAGGAAUACAUCGGAAUCUACUUUUUCGUGGGGGAUAACGUAGGGAAACUUACGCUAAUACCGCAUACGACCUACGGGUGAAAGCAGGGGAUCUUCGGACCUUGCGCGAUUGAAUGAGCCGAUGUCGGAUUAGCUAGUUGGCGGGGUAAAGGCCCACCAAGGCGACGAUCCGUAGCUGGUCUGAGAGGAUGAUCAGCCACACUGGAACUUGGACACGGUCCAGACUCCUACGGGAAGGAGCAGUGGGGAAUAUUGGACAAUGGGCGGAAGCCUGAUCCAGCCCUACCGGGUGGGUGAAGAAGGCCUUCGGGUUUUAAAGCCCUUUUGUUGGGAAAGAAAAGCAGCAGGUUAAUACCCCGCUGUUCUGACGGUACCCAAAGAAUAAGCACCGGCUAACUUCGUG